This 253-nucleotide ribosomal RNA is filed under the name uncultured bacterium. RNAcentral describes it as "partial 16S ribosomal RNA". It matches the Rfam family "Bacterial small subunit ribosomal RNA", at positions 524 to 776 of the family's 1533-position model. The record is from RNAcentral.
UACGAGGGGUGCAAGCGUUGCUCGGAAUCACUGGGCUUAAAGCGUGUGUAGGUGGAUGGGUAAGUACCUUGUGAAAUCCCACGGCUCAACCGUGGAACUGCUUGGUAUACUGCCUGUCUUGAGGCACUCAGGGGCGAGCGGAACAAAUGGUGGAGCGGUGAAAUGCGUAGAUAUCAUUUGGAACGCCAAUGGUGAAAACAGCUCGCUGGGAAUGAUCUGACACUGAGACGCGAAAGCCAGGGGAGCGAACGGG